RNAcentral lists this long non-coding RNA (434 nucleotides) under Panax ginseng (ginseng). RNAcentral's name for it is "long non-coding RNA (PGIN_LNC009251)". Lineage: Eukaryota; Viridiplantae; Streptophyta; Magnoliopsida; Apiales; Araliaceae. The record is from RNAcentral.
AAGAAUUCUAUUAACAAUAAUCAAAAUCCACAAUGGUGAAGAACUCCAAGAAGAAGAAAAUAAGACGUUGUGGCUUCGUUCUCCGUUGGACUCUCUUCCAAGGUGUAAACCCUAAUUGCUACUAUGAAAGUUACGUAAUAAAAGUCAAGUCCCCCUCUGACAUACGUCAGAAUUGCUUUAUACCAAUUACACAUCAUCACAUUGCUUAAUUAAAAAUAAAACAAAUUACAACAUCAGCAUCGCGUGCGGCCGCGCGUGGCUCUAGUGUAUCUGUCUCGCGGCCGCGAGACUUGCAGAAAGCUCAGUUCCCCCAGACAUCUUAUCGCGCAGUCGUGCACUUCUGCCUCGCGGGCGCGCGGUCAUGCCUCGCGGGCGCGUGACUUGCAGAAGGUUCCCUAUGUAAAGCCCUGCUUUCGCGCGGGCGCGCGAGUCUU